CGGGGUGCAGCAGGCGCGAAAAGUUUACAAUGCACGAAAGUGUGAUAGCGGGAUUCAAAGUGCUCAUACAAAGUAUGGGCUUUUGCCAACUCAAAAUUUGUUGGCGAAUAAGUGGUGGGAAAGACUGGUGCCAGCCGCCGCGGUAACACCAGCGCCACGAGUGGGAAUCACUAUUACUGGGCCUAAAGCGUCCGUAGCAGGUCUUGAUAAUUGCUUGUGAAAUCGCACAACUCAACUGUGCGGAUUGCAGGCAACACUACAAGACUAGAGAUCGGGAGAUGUUGGAGGUAUUCAGUGGGGAGCGGUAAAAUGCGAGAAUCCUCUGAAGACCACCUGUUGCGAAGGCGUCCAACAAUAACGAGUCUGACUGUGAGGGUCGAAAGCUAGGGGAGCGAACCGGAUUAGAUACCCGAGUAGUCCUAGCCCUAAACGCUGCGAGCUAGGUGUUGCAUAAUCUUCGGGAUUAUGCAGUAUCGUAGAGAAGUCGUUAAGCUCGCCGCCUGGGAAGUACGGCCGCAAGACUGAAACU
Molecule: ribosomal RNA, 529 nt
Filed under: uncultured archaeon
Lineage: Archaea
Description: bacterial SSU rRNA
Rfam family: Archaeal small subunit ribosomal RNA
Source: RNAcentral